UCCCUGGUGGCUGAGACAGUAAAGAAUCUGCCUGCAAUGCAGGAGACCCCAGGUUUGAUCCCUGGGUUGGGAA
This 73-nucleotide transfer RNA is filed under the name Ovis aries (sheep). It matches the Rfam family "tRNA". Rfam says of the family: Transfer RNA (tRNA) molecules are approximately 80 nucleotides in length. Their secondary structure includes four short double-helical elements and three loops (D, anti-codon, and T loops). Lineage: Eukaryota; Metazoa; Chordata; Mammalia; Artiodactyla; Bovidae. The record is from Rfam by way of RNAcentral.